Molecule: non-coding RNA, 1761 nt
Organism: Salmo salar (Atlantic salmon)
Lineage: Eukaryota; Metazoa; Chordata; Actinopteri; Salmoniformes; Salmonidae
Source: RefSeq, a predicted model, not a curated record
AACUUCCGACUUCAACUGUAUAUAUAUUUAUAUUUAAGGGGUUUGUGGUAUAUGGCCAAUAUACCACGGCUAAGGGCUGUUCUUAGGCACAACGCAACACAGAGUGCCUGGAGGUGCCUUAUUGCUAUUAUAAACUGGUUACCAACAUAAUUAGAGAAGUAAAAAUAAUUGUUUUGACAUACCCGUGGUAUACGGUCUGAUAUAUCACAGCAUCAGCCAAUCAGCAUUUAGGGCUCGAACCACCCAGUUUCUAAAUAUAUAUAUAUAUAUACGCCUGUAGAUAACAACAACGUUACUGUCAUUAAGUUUAUUCAGAAAGGGAAUGUGUCUGUGGAAUAAAUGACGUGGCUCGUAGACGUUUAUAUAAUGUUUCUGUCAUAUAUUUUAUCUCCUAAAGAUGAGUUUCAACCUGGCUUCAUCACGUUCAGAGCCAUAAAUACCGAACGAGCAGCCACGGCCAUCUGCUCUGGGGUCAAACCAAUCGGCUGCAACACUGAACAUUACUGUAUAGGUGGUGGUGGACACUUCCCUGAGGCUGCUCCCAUACAGUGUGGUGACUUCACUGGCUUUGACGGGAACGGUUACGGGACCAACAUAGGCUGGAGUGCGUCCAGGGAGAUCACCGAAGCUGCUGUGCUGCUCUUCUACCGUUAAAUUCCAUCCUAAAACCGUUUACUAUGUUCUAUACACUGUAAGGAAUACAACUAUAUUGUCCAAAAGAAACUAACCAUUCUAUGGUAUUGAAUAGAAAACUAACCAUUCUAUGGUAUUGAAUAGAAAACUAACCAUUCCAUGGUGUUGAAUAGAAAACUAACCAUUCUCUGGUAUUGAAUAGAAAACUAACCAUUCCAUGGUAUUGAAUAGAAAACUAACCAUUCCAUGGUAUUGAAUAGAAAACUAACCAUUCCAUGGUAUUGAAUAGAAAACUAACCAUUCUAUGGUAUUGAAUAGAAAACUAACCAUUCCAUGGUAUUGAAUAGAAAACUAACCAUUCCAUGGUAUUGAAUAGAAAACUAACCAUUCUAUGGUAUUGAAUAGAAAACUAACCAUUCCAUGGUAUUGAAUAGAAAACUAACCAUUCCAUGGUAUUGAAUAGAAAACUAACCAUUCCAUGGUAUUGAAUAGAAAACUAACCAUUCCAUGGUAUUGAAUAGAAAACUAACCAUUCCAUGGUAUUGAAUAGAAAACUAACCAUUCUAUGGUAUUGAAUAGAAAACUAACCAUUCCAUGGUAUUGAAUAGAAAACUAACCAUUCCAUGGUAUUGAAUAGAAAACUAACCAUUCCAUGGUAUUGAAUAGAAAACUAAACAUUCCAUGGUAUUGAAUAGGAAACUAACCAUUCUAUGGUAUUGAAUAGAAAACUAACCAUUCCAUGGUAUUGAAUAGAAAACUAACCAUUCCAUGGUAUUGAAUAGGAAACUAACCAUUCCAUGGUAUUGAAUAGGAAACUAACCAUUCCAUGGUAUUGAAUAGAAAACUAACCAUUCCAUGGUAUUGAAUAGAAAACUAACCAUUCCAUGGUAUUGAAUAGAAAACUAACCAUUCCAUGGUAUUGAAUAGAAAACUAACCAUCUCUGCCAUCAACAUACGUGUAUUAAGAUUUGUUGUCGUUUGUUUUAUGAAAUCCCCUGUUUGAUAAAUUGUUGUAACGGAAACAACUUCUCUGUGGUUAUUAUAGAGGUAGCAUUAAUUCACUGAAUGUGCUGUACAAAUACAACUGCAUAUACACUGCUCAAAAAAAUAAAGGGAACACUUAAACAA